UUUUAUUUUCUGUAGAUUAUGAUACUUGACUAUAAAUUACCUUAUCCCAGUGGAACUGCAACUGCUGUUCUUAUUAAUGGAUUUCAUACACCUAAGGGGGACAAAAUGGCCAAGUAUGCAAUGACUUUAAUAGGAACUUGUUUUUCCAGCUGAAAUGUAGAAAUGAAAAUCUAGUUUUCCCUCAAAAUUUCAGGAAACAGGUCAAUGGAUUCCUGAGAUUCUUCUCAAUAAGUUUCAUCUGGAGUUUCUUUCAAUGGUUUUACUCUGGUGGAGAUCAAUGCGGAUUUGUGAACUUCCCCACCUUUGGAUUGAAAGCUUGGAAACAGACGUACGUAUGUGCUUGACAUCUAGUUUUCAGGCUUAACUGAAUGAUUUCUCCAUCAUAAUUAAUAUAACCAAUUGAAUUUUGCAGAUUUUAUUUUGAUUUCAGCAUGACUUAUGUUGGAGCUGGAAUGAUUUGUUCACACCUUGUGAACUUGUCUUUGCUUCUUGGAGCUGUUCUGUCUUGGGGAAUUAUGUGGCCUCUAAUUAGUGAUCGCAAAGGAGCUUGGUUCCCGGCCACCUUACCGGAGAACAGCAUGAGGAGCCUCAAUGGAUACAAGGUUUGUAAAUAUGUAUAAAGUCUGCAAUUAACGACUAGGUGGAUAAUUUGGACCUCUACUUUUGCUCAUUACACCUUGAAGCAUUGUUGAAUAAGUUGUUAUCAUUUUACUCCAUGUUUUCAGGUUUUUAUCUCCAUCGCUCUCAUCCUGGGAGAUGGCCUUUACAAUUUUCUCAAAACACUUUUUUUCACUGGUAGAAGCAUAUAUGCUGCACUGAACAAAAAGAACCCCGUGUCAUGUAAGUUGAAACUUUUAUUGCGAAACUAAUUAUUCUCUCUUAUUAGUUGACUCUUUUCGUUUCUGUCUGUUUCUUUUCUCCGGCAGUUUCAGAUAGCAAGAAUCAGCCGGUUGAUGACCUUCAGAGAAACGAAAUAUUCAUUAGAGAGAGCAUUCCCUUAUGGGUAGCUUGUGUUGGGUACAUGGUUUUCUCUGUUAUCUCCAUCAUUUUAAUCCCACUUAUGUUCCCUGCACUGAAGUGGUACUAUGUGCUCGUCGCAUACAUUCUUGCACCAUCUUUGAGCUUCUGCAAUGCCUAUGGUGCUGGUCUAACUGACAUGAACAUGGCAUACAAUUAUGGCAAAGUGGCUCUCUUUGUGCUUGCUGCAUUAUCUGGUAAAGACAAUGGUGUAGUCGCUGGACUUAUUGGAUGUGGACUGAUCAAGUCCAUUGUAUCUAUAUCCUCUGACCUCAUGCAUGAUUUCAAAACAGGCCACCUAACCCUGACUUCCCCUCGUUCGAUGCUUCUUAGCCAAGGAAUCGGGACUGCUAUCGGUUGUGUGGUAGCACCUCUCACGUUUUUCCUCUUCUACAAAGCUUUUGAUGUAGGGAAUCCUGAUGGGGAGUACAAAGCUCCUUAUGCCUUAAUCUACAGGAACAUGGCAAUCUUAGGUGUUGAAGGCUUCUCUGCUCUGCCCCAACAUUGCUUGCAGCUCUGUUAUGGUUUCUUCGCCUUUGCUAUACUUGCCAAUUUAGUGAGAGACGUCGCCCCUAAAAGCAUUGGCAAAUGGGUUCCUCUCCCAAUGGCUAUGGCCGUUCCUUUCCUCGUUGGAGCGAGCUUUGCAAUUGAUAUGUGUGUGGGCAGUUUGGUUGUAUACCUAUGGCACAAGGUCAACAGCAACAAGGCCAGUUUAAUGGUUCCUGCUGUUGCUUCAGGGUUGAUUUGUGGCGACGGAUUAUGGAUUCUUCCAUCAUCAAUACUUGCUUUAGCCAAAGUUAAUCCUCCUAUUUGCAUGAAUUUUUUGGCAACAAAGAUCUCAUGAAAUUUUCUCAUGCCUGAAACAAACAUGUUUGGCGCUUGCUGAAGAGUAAUACAAGUAUAUAGAAAUGCCAUAGUUAGCAGACUACUUUGAGAAUGUGACUAAUAGAAGAGUUUUGUCACAAUUGGGAAGAAUGACUAGUUAAUUUAAUUUGGUAUAGAAAGAAUAUGGAAUAAAUACAUUCAGCCUUGGUAGACACACAGCAGCUUAAAAUGUAAUUUGACCCUUAGAGGUAGCGAGGGAAGGGAAUGUAUUCUUAAGUGUAUGGAGCUAUAGUUUUUUAUCUGAUAAAUAAAAUUUGGGACAACAGAUCCGCAUCUUUACCAAAGCCCUGUUUAUGCCUAAGAGCUCUAGGGGGCGGAGAACAAGUGAAGAAUAAGGAAAUUAACCUCUAUCUAUACAAAGCAGUUUCACGAAAAAGUUUUUAAAAGUAAUGACUUUUUUCUUUUCCGGAAAAAACUAUUCAGGUUACUUUUAAAAAAUGCGUAAAUAGGUUUUAGUUUUUGAAAAGCUUGUGUAAUGCCGUACUCCCUUUCAAUUUAUGUGAACCUGCUUGAUUGGGCACGAAGUUUAAGAAAAAAUGAAGAAUUUUGAAAUUUAUGGUCCUAAACAAAUCAAAAAGGGGCUCAGAGUAUUUGUGUGGUUAUAAAAGCUUCUCAUUAAAGGGUAAAAUGAUAAGUUUAAGCUAAAUUAUUACCAAAUUUAAAAAGAAAUUAUUUUGUUUAGAAUAAACAGGAAAUAGGUUCACAUAAAUUAAAACGGAGGGAGUUUAACUUUUUCAGUUCCAAACAUUAAAAAAUAAAAAAAUAAAGUGGCUGUCUACCAGGACCCACAACAUUCUUUCCAUCAUUCUCGUUUGGAAAUGCCACUCAAUAAUAUAGUGAUCAUAGAAUUUUUGGAUUUCGAUGUUGCUCCACAUCCAGAUGAUGACAACAUGGUUGGAACUUCUAUUGAUCAGUGAAUAAAAGAAUCCACCAACGGUAGCAAUGAACCAAAAGGGGUAACUUUUGGUUCCUGGUUAGAAAUACUUAGAAUAGAUGCCUCCACCUGCAAACACUGCAUAUUGACGUGCUACAAAUGCUUUUAUUCCAGUUAGAUUUUUCUACAUCCUUUAAUCACUGAAACUCCAAUUGUCUAUUCUUGUCGUCAUUUUCCGUUGGAAUUUCCACCCUUUGAAAUUUCCCCAACAAGCAAAAAUUCAUCAGAAAAUUCUCUUCCUAAGGAAUCACUACAACAAUUCAACUGCCUCUUCACUAAUAAUGUGGGGUAAAAACUCAUCCGCAAGCACGGCGUUUACACUAAAACAACUGAAUUGUAGCCGUUAAAUAAUAGAGUGAGAAUUUUUAUUAUUGUAUAUGGGUAAAAUGGGGGGCAAUGUCUACCCCGAUUCCCCAAUGAGAAAACGAAGGGGAGCAUGGAUCCGCAAGAUUGUAACUGAGACCUGUCACGACCCAAAUCGAUGGGCCAUGACAAGUGCCCGAGUUCUACCUGCCGAACACCUCUAAGCAUACGUCUAAGAUAUAAACAUGAAAUAAGGGUAGGUCAUGCAUAACGUCUGACAAUAAACUACCGAUUCAUGUGAAUAAUAUACGCGGUAAAACAUGCCCAAAAGAGAUAUGUACAUAUGUAUACAGUAUACGAUAGGGCGAGCCGACAAGGCCACAUACUAUCCAACUAUACAUGACUGACUACAAACUUCUAAUAGAGUGUACAACUGUAUAAAGGACGGGACUAAGCCCAGUCAUACCUAUAUAUGUAUACAAAAGUAUAGUACCAAAACCUAAUAGAAGCUCUGGAUCAAAUGGAGCACACCAACUCUCGCUGAGCAAGGAUCCUAAGAAGGGAGACCGUCAGCCUAUCUACCUACACUUGCGGGCAUGAAACGCAGGCCCCUAGGCAAUAAGGGUGUCAGUACGAAUAAUGUAUUGAGUGUGUAAGGCAUAAAAAUCAGUAUAUAAAAGCAUGAAAGAAACAUGGAGUAAAGGAUUCGACCUGUAAGUCUGAAUAGCUUUGUGAAUCAUGAAAUAUUUAUAAUGUCAUGCAUAUGGGUAUAAAUGUCAUAUCAUGCAUAGGUAUAUGCGUACAUAACAUCAUCAAGCUUUUAAGGGCAACCCAUCAUAUCAUCUCGGCCUCAGUGGGUGAAAUCAUCAAAGUAUGCCAGCUGAUCAGAUGGUGGUGAAUAUAUAAUGACAUAACCUUUCCAUAUACCCCAUAUACAAAUACUAUAUGCCUAUAUAACUUUAUCUGAUCAUGGGUUAAUAUACAUGUAUAAAUAAAUUCAAUGCAUAAUGAAGUAAGUCAAUAAGAUCUCUCGGUAUGUCAUGAGACCCAUGAACAGGCGAUAUGAUAGUAGGACAUAUGGGGAAUCAAGAAUAGAAUCAGUUGUGAAAGUUGCAUGCUUGCUCGUUUCGUUAUAUCAUGUGGAUCAUGCCAAAAGGAAAGAAGGGAUAGAAUCAGUUGUGAAAGUUGCAUGCUUGCUCGUUUCGUUAUAUCAUGUGGAUCAUGCCAAAAGGAAAGAAGGGAUAGCCUUAACAUACCAUAUAGAAAUCUGUCCAAUAACAAUGCUAAACUCAGCUCCCUGCACCUUAAUCUACAACAACGACAGUGAAGCUCUUGUCAAGUUACGAAUGACUCUCAUUUAUAUAACGAAAAUAACCUAAUCUGUAAAAAAAAGAAUGGGCAACAUUUCCCUUGAUUUUACUGCGCCCUCAAGCCUACUAUAGGCAAGACAAUAACACAUACAAUCAGCAACUCUAAAACAACCUAAUUACAAUUCGGGACCUUUAAUAUAACAAAAACCCCAAAUAUACCAUAACACACCCAAUCAACAAGUUAUCAAGUAGCUUAAAACUGCAACAACGAGUGACCAAUCCACUACCCUACCACAUGUGGCAUUUCUCCAUGCCCUGCAUCCUCCAAAAUUCCAUAAAUCAGCAUCACAAGAGGCCAACAUGAGUGAACUAUAAAACAAUCCACUAAAAGUGGAAUAAAUCAAACUCACUGCUUCUGAUCACUGUCCCAUGAGUUCUAACUAUUAGAAAACAAAUUUAUCAACUUUCCUGGAUAUAUAAAAGCUUAAAUACAGCAAGUAGGUAUUUUCUUAACUAUGAAGUACCUUCCAAACUCAAACUACAUAGAAAGAGAGAGGCGAUAUAACGAUACUUACGUCGUAGGGAUCGUUCUAAUGUUAUCGCUUCUUGAUUUCGUACCCGGGAUGUUAAUCUUCUUUGAACCCUUGUAAAGAGAUUAAGCGUACGUUUAUGAUCUUAUUUUGGUCGUGGUCUGUGGAAAAAUGAAGAAAGAGACGACAUAAGGGAUAUAUAUAUAUAUAUAUAUAUAUAUAUAUAUCAACUUUUGAAAAGUCAAGAGGUGCUAGCUUGGCGCCCUAGCAUUGGCCCUUCUUCUGACGCUUAUAUCUAUUUAUCCGGAUGUUGUAUGAAUAAACGGUUAAGAGCGUUGAAAACUAUAUUCCAAGACCUUCAAUUUGGUAAAGACCCCAUAUAACACACAAAAUGUAUUACUCAAAAAGCUUUAUUACAAUGCAAAUCCUUAGUCGGAUUUUCCGCAAUUUAAAUCCGAUUUUUCCCAAACAUUAUAUUUUAUAUUGUAUAGUCAUAUUAUGACUUUAAACUAAUUUAAACCAUGAUUAAAAAGUUUUUAUUCAUUAUACGUCACCUUGGGACACACGGGGUGUAACUAUCUUUCCCUCUUGGAAAUAUUCGUCCCCUAAUGUUAAACUCCCAGAGAUCUAUAAAAAUUUUGUAGAGUCUCCUCUAUAACGGUACUACUACCAACCUGUCACACAGCAAACCCAACAAUAUAGUUACACCCCAUGUUUUCGUACGUAAGAGUAUGUUGUAAGUUAAUUGAUGAUAAGCUCAGAAAUGAAAUUAUCUUUGAAAAGUUUAUAAAGUAAGUUAAUCAUGUUACCGUGGAGGUUCCAAAAUUUAAGAUUAUGAAUACCAAGUACUAAGAGGGUUGGAAGUCUUAGAAGCUAAACGAAUUGAAGAAAAUAAGUUUCGACGAAAGUCAACAAGUUGGAAUGUUAGAACAUGUAAUUUUUGGACGAGACUAGGGUGUUUAACAUUAUAAGGAGGUUAUGUUAUAAGUUAUUUUAGUCGUAUGAUAGUCGUGUAUUAUGUUUUGAAGUUAAGCGAGUUAUGGAACAAAAGUUGGCAAAGGUCAUCACAAGUCACAUUCAUAAAUGUGCUAAAGAUUAGGUCAAAUGUAGCAGAGCUUUUAUCCAAAUAUACUUGGAAUUACAGUGUGAUCUACCUAAAUAUUGAAGAUCUCCGAGUCUAGUUUCUAACGCAUUAAACCGUUCAUCAAUACAAAAUUAGAGUAGAGAGAUAUUCACAUUUUCGUAAGACAGCGCAAACAGCUCCCAAUGGGACCCACUUAGGCGGUGGACGACCUUGAACAUUUUAAAGGGCUUGGACGGCUUAUUUUUGGUCAUUUCGACCAAGGACAGUUCCCAAACUCUCUGAACACCUCUCUAACAGUUCUCCAAGGUUCCAAGUUGAAUCCAAGGGGUUUUUACCUAAACAUAACCUCAAAACUAGCCUAAGUGAAGAGAGAGUAUUUAUGGUGUUGUGAUGGAUUUAAGGGUGCUUGUUGUUACACUCCAUAUUUUCAUAUAUGAAAGUACGUCAUAAGUAAAUUGAUGAAAUCUCGGAAAUGAGAUGUUACAUUCCGCAUUUUCGUACGUUAAAGUUUCGUCGUAAGUUAAUCGACGUAAGUUCGGGAAUGAGAUUAUUUUGGGAUUAUAAGUAUUAUGCUAUUUCAAACAAGUGAUAAGUAAAUUUGUGAAGGUGAGAGGGUAAGCGAAUCGAAGAAAAUGAGUUUCAUUGAAGUUUGAUAAUUUGGGAUAAAAUAUGGUCUGAGCUAUAAUACCCGAUAUUUAUGGACUAGUAUCAUACAAGGUACCACAUGACCAUGAUAGUAAAGUGUAUAAAGUGUGUUAAAAGCGAGUAGUAUUUUAAGUAAUUUGAUAUAAUUCUUAAUAAUGUGGAUAAUUGGGUAAUUAUAAAUUUUUAGUGGGAGAUUAAUUAAGUAAUUAAGCCAAUUAAGAUAUUUUAGAAAAGGCUAAACACUCCCAAACGUGGCAGCCAACCACCCCAACCUAAUGACUCCUAAGUUAUUAUGGUAAGGUGGCCUAAUUAGGGGAUUUUAGGCAAAGCUGAGUCAUCCUAGUAAGGCCCACCCCUAAAGGAAAAAAAAACCUCUCUAAUUCACCAAAAUUAUUUGCUCAUCUCUACUAAUUUAAGAGAGAAAGCUUCAGCAAAAAUGUUGGUUUGCAAUAGCAACGUAAUUGCUUCAAAUGUUCAUACGAAGACUAUUUAAUACUAUAACAACGUGGAAUUUGCGAUUCUAAGGGAGUACAGUGCAAUCUUUCUCAAGAAUAUCAUAUGGAUUGUUCCUUAUUUUGAUCUCGUCGUUAAGUGUUUUGUCGCGAUUGGCGUGUGUUAGAAGCAUUGUCAAGAGAAUCGGCUCAGGUAUGUUAAGGCUAAACCUUUCUUCAUUUUGGCAUGAUCUCGUAAUUACAUGUGUUUGAUAACGAGUCAUAAAGAGAAGUUCGUACUCCCGAAUUUAUAUACAUUAUCCUAGUCUCAUAAGUUACAGUAUUCCCCCUUAUAGGUACUUCAUAUUCAAUUGAGUAUCGUCUUUUUCUAGUCAAGAGAGUAGAGGGUCUAUAUAUAUACAGUAUUAUAGUAUUUUCACCACCAUCGAGCUAUAAUCAAUGGGCAGGCCCCUAUUGGGAAACCUCAAAUCAGAUGGUAAGUUAUAUACCGAGCCUACUUUAGUCGAGCGCCUACGAGCGAGCCCAGUUGGACGAGAUACAGAGCCUAGUAUGGUCAAGCACCUAUGAGCGAGCCUACUACGGCAGAGCAGUUACACAUAUCAAGCCUUAUAAGGCCGGACAACUAUUUUACUUACUAUAUUGAGAGAGUUGAGUCAAUAUCAGUAGGUAAGCAUAUAUUUAGAUUAUCUUUGAUGCCCAGUUACUUUCAGUUAUUAUAUUAUCAGUUCAGUUUAAGCUUUCAGUUAUUCUAUUGCCUUACAUACUCGAUAUAUUAUUUCAUACUGACGUCCCUUUUGCUAGGGAUGCUGCAUUUCAUGCCUGCAGGUCCUGAUUGAUAGUUGGACAGACCCUCCCAAUAGAUAAAGUCAAACAUCAGCUUGGUUGGUAAGCUCCACUUCCUCGGAGUUACCAGGUCUAGACCUUGGAGUCCAUUAUAUAUAUACAGGUUUGAUGGGUAGGUCGAGGCCUUAUCCCGACCAUGGUACCAUUUAGUUAUCUGUAGAAGCUUGUAGACGAGCUUGUAUAUUUUGUAUAUCAGUAGAUGUUCAUGGAGACUUCAUCGAUCUGUAUAUAUAUAUAUAUAUAUAUAUAUACAUACAUACAUAUACACAAGCUCGUCUGUAUAUAUACAAGCUUGUCUGAGGCCAUAUUCUGAAUCGUCUGAAAAUAACGCANNNNNNNNNNNNNNNNNNNNNNNNNNNNNNNNNNNNNNNNNNNNNNNNNNNNNNNNNNNNNNNNNNNNNNNNNNNNNNNNNNNNNNNNNNNNNNNNNNNNNNNNNNNNNNNNNNNNNNNNNNNNNNNNNNNNNNNNNNNNNNNNNNNNNNNNNNNNNNNNNNNNNNNNNNNNNNNNNNNNNNNNNNNNNNNNNNNNNNNNNNNNNNNNNNNNNNNNNNNNNNNNNNNNNNNNNNNNNNNNNNNNNNNNNNNNNNNNNNNNNNNNNNNNNNNNNNNNNNNNNNNNNNNNNNNNNNNNNNNNNNNNNNNNNNNNNNNNNNNNNNNNNNNNNNNNNNNNNNNNNNNNNNNNNNNNNNNNNNNNNNNNNNNNNNNNNNNNNNNNNNNNNNNNNNNNNNNNNNNNNNNNNNNNNNNNNNNNNNNNNNNNNNNNNNNNNNNNNNNNNNNNNNNNNNNNNNNNNNNNNNNNNNNNNNNNNNNNNNNNNNNNNNNNNNNNNNNNNNNNNNNNNNNNNNNNNNNNNNNNNNNNNNNNNNNNNNNNNNNNNNNNNNNNNNNNNNNNNNNNNNNNNNNNNNNNNNNNNNNNNNNNNNNNNNNNNNNNNNNNNNNNNNNNNNNNNNNNNNNNNNNNNNNGCCCACAGAUGAGAGGUGCGUUAUUUUCAGACGAUUCAGAAUAUGGCCUCAUCGGCCUAAGUUGAGGGUUACCCCUCCAGAGUUCACAGUUACAGAGUGGUAUGCUCAGGCCGAGUAUGGCACUAGGUGCCGGCCACACCUCUUUAGGUUUAGGGCGUGACAAACUUGGUAUUAAAGCAGUUCUGUCCUAGAGAGUCUACAAGCCGUGUCUAGUAGAGUCUUGUUUAUGGGUGUGUUGUGCACCACACUUAUAAGCAGGAGGCUACAGCGCAUUUGGGACUGUCACUCGUUCUUCUUACUCUAGAUCGUGUGGUAGAGCUCAAUUAUAAGAAUUUGAACUCUUAAACUCUAUUUUACUCGUAAUGAGACGAUACCUAUAACCAAAAGAUAGUUGGUAAGAGAUAGCAUGUGGCUGUGGAAGAGUUCAGUCAGAGGACCUCGAUUUUUCAUGAUGCGUAUGAUGAGUAAAUAUAAGGUCUUCAGUAGAUCAUGUGUGUACUAAGACGUGUAAACCUCUCGAUAAGGAGCCUUAAAAUAAGAAUAUCUAUCCACCCCUAUGGUGAAAGGCAAUGAGAGAUUCAGCAGGUAGGUACAAGCUUCAACAAGUAAAAGGAGCAAGAUGAGAAGGGUACGAGGUACCAAAGUAAUGAAGAUUAUUGGCAUUUUCAACUCAGGCAGAAAAAUUUAAGCAUUGUGAGUUACCUUCAACAAUAAUAGAGGUAUAUAUAAUUGGCCACAUCCAUCUCAGUUAUAUCCUAUGGGAGCUAACAUAUAUGGUUUUAGAGAAGGACGGGAUAUCAGGACCCGACUGGGGUUAGAGUAACCAAAAUUAUAGAUGGAUUGUUUGCGUUAGUUGAUAUUUCCGAAGGAUAUUGCAAAUGUGCCAAUAGAUCUCCUUGUGAGACACCCAGAUGGUGCACUCUAAAAUAGUACAGCUAGAUAUGAGUACUACAAAUAUAGGCAUUGGACGCCUUGAAGGGAUAAAUAUUAUCUUAGUGUGGCUCUUGUCCCUAGUAGAGAAAGAAUGUUAGGCAACCCGAAGAGCCAGUAGAUGGAGUAAGGGGAGCUAAAAGCAAAAGAAUGUCUUGUUAAAGUUUUCAGAAUAAAGUGAUAAAUAGAAAUAUUAGUAGAAAAAUAAGAAAAGAGAUAGUGAAGCAUUAUGAGUAAGAUGUGAUACAUGGAUGACAAGGGUAGAGUAUUACAGAAUCUAUAAUCAAGUGAGGGAAUAGGCGAGAAAUGACAGGCCUUAAGACAAUAUAAGAGUAUAGGCCAUAUGGUCAUAUCCUCAUUUCGAGAAAUAAGUUUGCGACUCUAACGUGAUUACCAGAAGGAAGAGUUAGACCUCCAGAGUAAUAGAAAUUAGUAUGAGCUGAUGAACAAGAUAAACUAAACAUGGAUUAGGGACCAAGUAAUUUGAUAAUAGUCGGCAUCAUGAGAAUUUCAGAUUGCGUCCGGCGAUAACAGAAUGGACAAAUAGAAGAAGAUUCAUGAGAAAUUCAGAGAAUGCUCAUUCAGGAAUACGCUUCCCUAAAGAAAUCAAUGUGAGCAAAGUUAAGCUUAAGGGACUGUACGGGCCAGUUAUACUAAGUGUUACCCUCGCGAGUAAGGAAUUUUGUUAUCCUUGGUACAGAAAGAUUACCACAAGGAGAGUAUGGGUCAUCGAUAAUGUGAAAAGACGCCAAUGAUGAAAAGGUAAAACAUCUAUAGGUAGAUCCUCGUGGCUCCAACUCUUAGUACUCCCCUAAAGGGGGGAUAUUGAGUGAUAUGACAUUAAGUCAGAAUUAAGUGGUUCUAGUAACUAUGGAACGGUAAAGGAAGAAUGCGAUAAAAAGGAGAAAGGGAUGAGAUUGCACUUAUUCAAAGCCUAUAGAUAUGCUACGAUUCCAGAACAUUAUGCAAACACGACGUCAAUGAGAGGAAGUAUGGGUUCCUGCCCAAGAUGUUAUUGAUAAAUAAAGAGCCAGUGCGAGAAGUAAGUUAAGACAAAUGAAAUGACCCAAGAAAGAUUACGCGGAAUAUUGAUAUGAGAAUGGACCAAUGAGUAGUUAGUAGUUGAUUCAGGAAAAACCUAGUUAUGGCUAGACAAGAGGAUAUAGACAAAUCAACAGAUCAUGAAAGAUAAACAUAGUGAACCCCAACAUGGGAAAUUCAGUCUCGCAGAUAUGACAUUGUAAUCCUUGAUAAAUAUUCAGAUAGUGUCACACCUCCUUUUUUACAUACCCGAAGGUGAUAUAAGAUAGUUUUUUCCAACUUGAAGUGACAAUCGAAACGAGAUUAUUUUAUUAAAUAUUCAGAGUCGUCACUUGGUAUAAUUUUAUGGUAUCCCAAGUCACCGGUUUAAAUCCCGAAUCGAGGAAAGAUUGACUCUGUUUUAUAGUCCGCGAACACAGAAAUCCUGGUAAGGAAUUCUAUUAAUCCGGGAGAAGGUGUUAGGCAUUCCCGGGUUCCGUGGUUCUAGCACGGUCGCUCAACUGUUAUUAUUGGCAUAUUAUCUGAUUUUUAAUACAUGUUUUAGCCUAUGGCUCAAUUUUAACUUUAUAACCGCUUUUAUUUAAAUAUUUUUUAGAAAGAUUCAACGUCAUCUAAAACACAUCUUGAACUACGUCAUAUAAAUGCACCUGCGGUCCACGACAUAUUUUAUUUAACGUUGUUGAGAUUUGAAUUUUGGUCACAUAAAUGCACACCCGAGUUUAGGAAAGUAAUUUAAAUUACGCGCCUAAAGCAACUACACAUUUCAAGUAAAUAAAGUAACAAACAUUGAAGUUUCGAUUUUUAUUUCUAACAAUAGGAGACCAUUCUGAUUCUACUGACCCACAAAAAUUAAAUGAUAAAAUACUAGUAGUAGUACAUAAAGCUUGAGACGGAUGGGGAAGUAUGCAUUUGUUUUGACGCAAUGGACCUUGUAGACUUAGACUUUAGAAGCUUUAUUAAUUGAAAAAUUCUUUCACAUAAGAGAACAAAAACCUUUCAUAUAUUCUGGACACUUUCAAGAAAAAGAUGAAGGGCGUUCUUAUUAAAGAAAAUCUAAACUUAAGAAAAAAAAACUUUAACAACAAAGCCUCUUGCUUAGAACUAUAAGAAUUUAAACUACUCAUGAAAAGCAUUUUAAAAAGAAAAUUAAACACUAGAUGAAAGUUCGGAUAACAUAGCUCAACAUAAUUAGAGGGUAAGAAAAGCAUAAGAGAAAUAAAGGAGCCAAAGAAUAAACUUAACAUUAAUCCCAACAACUAAAAAUAGCUUCAUGGAUUUAAUAGCACAUUUUACUAUUGUACCACACAAAAGACAAAAAUAGUGAAAGGAUGGUGAAGAAUAAACCUCAGAUGAGCUUCUUAAAAUUAGUGAAAGAUCCAAAAGCUACAAGCAGAUCCGACGACACGAACAAAAAUCGGAACCGCGAGUCAGCGAUCCGCAACUGAAUUCGCGGUCAGGAUCCACGAACCAAGAGCAAAGCUCGAACAACACCCCAACUCAGACUGAAAUCCAUUCUUAGAGAGCCAAAGUCCAAAAUCGAGAAGAAAAAAAAACAAGAUCUCUAUAUGUGUUUUUUUUUGGAUUUGAUUUACAUGGAAUUUUAUUUGUUUUCUUUGUUUUUUAACCUCUACUGUAUCUAUGUGUAUGUUGUGUAUUCAAAGAAGAAUAAAGGUAAAGGUCCAAAUAUGGAAAAUGGGUCAGAGGCGUUAGGUUCGAGAAUCAAAGGUUCAGCCGUUUUUUUUAGCUUUUUCAGAGAAGACGGCGCUGCCCCUUAUCCUUUUCUUUGUAUUAUUUUCGCUGAUGCUCAUUUGUUCUUCCAAAACGGUGGGUCAGAUGGGGAUUUUGGCGUUAGGUCACCAUUGUAAAGAAACGACUGCUUGUGAUUUUCAGUGUAUAUCUAUUAUAUAGGGGUAGGUAUUAGAUUAGGGGUAUGGGCCUAGGAAUUAUGGGCUAGGUCCAAAAUUAGGCCUAAAAAUGGGUUGCUCGAGCCCAAGUUUUAUUCUUUCCCCGCAAAUAAGACUAAAAAUGCUACCCUAUUUAUUAAUUAAUUUUACUUAAAUAAAAUAACUAUUGAAAUAAGACUGACC
This 13020-nucleotide long non-coding RNA is filed under the name Nicotiana tabacum (common tobacco). Its description in RNAcentral is "long non-coding RNA (NTAB_LNC013865)". The record is from RNAcentral. Lineage: Eukaryota; Viridiplantae; Streptophyta; Magnoliopsida; Solanales; Solanaceae.